AGGAAGGAACGGAGGUCAGAAAACAAGCUUCGAGUUUUGGAACUGGUGUAGCAGCUUCUCCUGAAAAGUGCCCUAAACAAUGUUGAAUGAAGUGAAUUAUUCCAAGUCAGGUUAAGAGGUCGCAGGGUUGUGGCCCUUUAUUUUUGGUAUUCGUCCCUUCUUUGCUUGCCAUCUUCACAUCCUCUCACGUGGAAC
Molecule: long non-coding RNA, 195 nt
Organism: Alosa sapidissima (American shad)
Lineage: Eukaryota; Metazoa; Chordata; Actinopteri; Clupeiformes; Clupeidae
Exons: 3
Source: RefSeq, a predicted model, not a curated record